GAAAUGAGUCAACAAGAGAAGCAACACAAGAGUGGAACAAAGGAAAGGCCAGAUUCCCCUGUGCCCAGCUGUGUGUCUAUGAAGAGUGAUCAAUCACUGCCAAUCCCACUCAACUUUACAGGUGGAACAUCCUCUAUGGAAAGCAAACAAGAUGGGACUCAAAUCCGAUCCUUG
Long non-coding RNA from Tachysurus fulvidraco (yellow catfish), 174 nucleotides. RefSeq lists it as uncharacterized. The transcript is spliced from 3 exons. Lineage: Eukaryota; Metazoa; Chordata; Actinopteri; Siluriformes; Bagridae. The record is from RefSeq and is a predicted model, not a curated record.